GAGACUCUGUGCGCGUGCAUAUCAAUAAGCGGAGGAAAAGAAACUAACUAGGAUUCCCUCUAGUAACGGCGAGUGAAGCGGGAAGAGCUCAAAUUUGAAAUCUUCAAGGUUCUACCUUGACGAAUUGUAGUUUAUAAGAAGUGUUUUCUGUUAGUAGAGUUGGCUAAAAGUUCUUUGGAAUAGGACAUCAUAGAGGGUGAGAAUUCCGUAUUUGAUCCAUUCUUUCUAACUUUGUGCUACACUUUCAACGAGUCGGAUUGUUUGGGAAUGCAGUCCAAAAUGGGUGGUAAAUUUCAUCCUAAAGCUAAAUAUUGGCGAGAGACCGAUAGCGAACAAGUACCGUGAGGGAAAGAUGAAAAGAACUUUGAAAAGAGAGUUAAACAGUACGUGAAAUUGUCAAAAGGGAAGCGUUUGACACCAGUGUUGUUUAGUUGAAAAUCAAUUCAAUAAUUUUUGAUUUUGAGUAGUAUUGACUUCAUCAGCUUGCUGCUUUCUUUUCAGGAAAUUAUUGAAUGCACUUUUCAGUUAACAAGUCAACAUCAAUUUCUUUUGUUGUAAAAGGGUAAGAGGAAGGUGGCUUACGCUUCGGCGUAAGUGUUUAUAGCCUUUUACCUCUGCAAUCGGAGAGAUUGAGGACAGCAGCGUAGACUCUUCGGGGUUAGAUACACUUGUGCUAAGCUAUAGCCUUGUAUAGACAACUUGUUGACUAUGCUCAGUCAUGUAGCUUACUCGCUUGUGCUAUUUUACCUACGCUUAGGAUGUUGAGUCGUAGAGCACGCAG
RNAcentral lists this ribosomal RNA (781 nucleotides) under uncultured Neocallimastigales. RNAcentral's name for it is "partial large subunit ribosomal RNA". It matches the Rfam family "Eukaryotic large subunit ribosomal RNA", at positions 23 to 625 of the family's 3401-position model. Lineage: Eukaryota; Fungi; Neocallimastigomycota; Neocallimastigomycetes; Neocallimastigales. The record is from RNAcentral.